RNAcentral lists this ribosomal RNA (406 nucleotides) under uncultured bacterium. Its description in RNAcentral is "partial 16S ribosomal RNA". It matches the Rfam family "Bacterial small subunit ribosomal RNA", at positions 30 to 526 of the family's 1533-position model. The record is from RNAcentral.
AUUGAACGCUAGCGGCAUGCCUUACACAUGCAAGUCGAACGAGUGGCGGACGGGUGAGUAAUUUCUGGGAACGUGCCUAGUGGCGGGGGAUAACUACUGGAAACGGUAGCUAAUACCGCAUACUCUCCGAUCGGCCGAGAUGGGAUUAGCUAGUUGGUGGGGUAACGGCUCACCAAGGCGACGAUCCGUAGCUGGUCUGAGAGGAUGACCAGCCACACUGGAACUGAGACACGGUCCAGACUCCUACGGGAGGCAGCAGUGGGGAAUAUUGGACAAUGGGCGAAAGCCUGAUGCAGCCAUGCCGCGUGUAUGAAGAAGGCCUUCGGGUUGUAAAGUACUUUUGGCGGAGAGGCGUUAUCUGCAGAAGAAGCACCGGCUAACUACGUGCCAGCAGCCGCGGUAAUAC